UACGUAGGUGGCAGGCGUUGUCCGGAAUUAUUGGGCGUAAAGCGCGCGCAGGCGGUCUUUUAAGUCUGAUGUGAAAGCCCACGGCUCAACCGUGGAGGGUCAUUGGAAACUGGAAGACUUGAGUGCAGAAGAGAAGAGCGGAAUUCCACGUGUAGCGGUGAAAUGCGUAGAGAUGUGGAGGAACACCAGUGGCGAAGGCGGCUCUUUGGUCUGUAACUGACGCUGAGGCGCGAAAGCGUGGGGAGCAAACAGG
This 253-nucleotide ribosomal RNA is filed under the name uncultured bacterium. RNAcentral's name for it is "partial 16S ribosomal RNA". It matches the Rfam family "Bacterial small subunit ribosomal RNA", at positions 524 to 776 of the family's 1533-position model. The record is from RNAcentral.